CCUACGGGGGGCUGCAGUGGGGAAUAUUGGACAAUGGGGGGAACCCUGAUCCAGCCAUGCCGCGUGUGUGAAGAAGGCCCUCGCGUUGUAAAGCACUUUCAGUGAGGAAGAACGCCUGGUGGUUAAUACCCAUCAGGAAAGACAUCACUCACAGAAGAAGCACCGGCUAACUCCGUGCCAGCAGCCGCGGUAAUACGGAGGGUGCGAGCGUUAAUCGGAAUUACUGGGCGUAAAGCGCGCGUAGGUGGCUUGAUAAGCCGGUUGUGAAAGCCCCGGGCUCAACCCGGGAACGGCAUCCGGAACUGUCAAGCUAGAGUGCAGGAGAGGAAGGUAGAAUUCCCGGUGUAGCGGUUAAAUGCGUAGAGAUCGGGAGGAAUACCAGUGGCGAAGGCGGCCUUCUGGACUGACACUGACACUGAGGUGCGAAAUCGUGGGUAGCAAACAGGAUUAGAUACCCCAGUAGUC
This 465-nucleotide ribosomal RNA is filed under the name Vreelandella stevensii. RNAcentral's name for it is "partial 16S ribosomal RNA". It matches the Rfam family "Bacterial small subunit ribosomal RNA", at positions 338 to 795 of the family's 1533-position model. Lineage: Bacteria; Pseudomonadati; Pseudomonadota; Gammaproteobacteria; Oceanospirillales; Halomonadaceae. The record is from RNAcentral.